CACGUGAGCAACCUACCCUUGACACUGGGAUAACAGUUGGAAACAGCUGCUAAUACCGGAUACGAACUCAGCAGGCAUCUGCCGAGUUGGAAAGCUCCGACGGUCAAGGAUGGGCUCGCGGCCUAUCAGCUUGUUGGUGGGGUAACGGCUCACCAAGGCGACGACGGGUAGCCGGCCUGAGAGGGCGACCGGCCACACUGGGACUGAGAUACGGCCCAGACUCCUACGGGAGGCAGCAGUGGGGAAUAUUGCGCAAUGGGCGAAAGCCUGACGCAGCAACGCCGCGUGCGGGAUGACGGCCUUCGGGUUGUAAACCGCUUUCAGCAGGGACGAAACUGACGGUACCUACAGAAGAAGCACCGGCUAACUACGUG
This 374-nucleotide ribosomal RNA is filed under the name uncultured Actinomycetes bacterium. Its description in RNAcentral is "bacterial SSU rRNA". It matches the Rfam family "Bacterial small subunit ribosomal RNA", at positions 114 to 507 of the family's 1533-position model. The record is from RNAcentral. Lineage: Bacteria; Bacillati; Actinomycetota; Actinomycetes.